UAUUGGGGGAGCCGUUGUUGGAAGAAGUCUAGGUUCCUGAAUGUCCAGUGGUUGUAGAUUUAUUGUCAGGAGAGACACUUUUGAGAGUGAAUGGGUGCCAACUAUAUGGGAUGUGGUACAACCUACAUAAACCAGGACUGGCAACUAGGGCCAUGGGGUCCGCCUGCUGAAUCACCAGUGGAAGGCCGUCCUCCCUUUCCUGGUCAAACCACUGAUAUUUGGUCAUUACACCAGUUAGCCUAUAUGGGCCCUUGUUGAUGGACCUUAAGCGUUUGGACCUCCAGUUGUUUGUUGUUAUGAAUAAUGCUACAGCAUGCCAAAGAUUAUCUUUGUGCACUUGUAAGAAGCAACUCAAUCCUGCAGGAAGAUGAUGGAAGUCAGUUGGCACCUGCCUGGGUAAUGCAGAAGAUGGGACAGAUAACUGAGAUAUAGACUAUAACAGGAAAGAGUUUGGGUUCUUUUCCGUCGACACUCCCCAUGGUACUGACCCAAGGCCGGAGAGGUGGAGUGGGUGUCUGUUCCACGUGGUCAGUUGGCCCAGGACCCAGGUGGAGGGCUCUGCUACCUUCAACACGUGCCAAAGACCAUCCUCUCAGUAGUGGCUAAACUCCAGGAGGCAGGAAUGCACCUGUUCUCUGCACCCCACUCCUCCAGACAGGGCCCAGCACUGAGUCAGCUUCAAUAGGUAUUAAGAGCAUGCGUCAGUGAAUGGCCCCAUGUCAACCUGGCAGAAAAACUUAAUAAAUGGAUUUUUUAUUUUUAA
Microcebus murinus (gray mouse lemur) is the source of this 763-nucleotide non-coding RNA. The record is from RefSeq and is a predicted model, not a curated record. NCBI's taxonomy places the organism in Eukaryota, Metazoa, Chordata, Mammalia, Primates, Cheirogaleidae.